Long non-coding RNA from Myotis myotis, 1469 nucleotides. RefSeq lists it as uncharacterized. The record is from RefSeq and is a predicted model, not a curated record. Lineage: Eukaryota; Metazoa; Chordata; Mammalia; Chiroptera; Vespertilionidae. The transcript has 4 exons.
CCCCCUGCAGGGUAGCCGAGCUCCGGAAUAUUCUUCUCCCUCUGGACGCCCCUGCUCAGGUCUGCGACCCCCGUCCCGCACUGUGCGGACCCAGCCGCGCUGAGACGUCCCCGGGAGGACGGAGCCGUCCAGUUGCCUGGAAAGGGCUGACGGCAGACACAGCCCCGGUCGGUCGGGGAGCGGGUCCCCGGCCAGCUGGUGAGGGAUGGGCCGGCGCCAGGUAAUUACUGCGGGUGCAGAGGUCGCCGCCGCCGAGCCCGCGCGCACUAAUCAACACAAACAGGACAUCUGUGUUCAGGAGCGCAGCAAACCAGGCAACCGACGCCGGGAGUUUCUGCGCCCCGAGAGCGAGAGCAAGAGCGCCCCCCCCUCCACCUGGGAGGCCUCGCAACUCCUCUGGUCCUGGGGGAACGGGGAGCUGGAGGUCUCCUCUGCUCUCAGCUUGUCGGAGCCAGGACUUUCCAACGUGGUGGUGGGGCCGUCGGAAGCCACGGGGGCCACGGAGUUAAGACCUGUUAGCGCGUGAGGGGUGAUGCCAGGAAGCCGGUGCCCUCAGACCUACCAUUCCCGCUGCACAGCCUCAGCCACACGCCUGAUGCCCAGGGUCUACCCACCCAGCGCCCUGGCUGGCAGCUCCGCAGGCUCCUUCUCCAGGCGCCCUCAGGCCUCAGGCUGCGAGCCGUCCAGGGCGGGGCCACCUCCAGGGCCCAGGGCCCGAGGCCAGCACAAGCCCCCGCACAGGCCGGGACCCGUGGAUGGUGAACGGAUGAGCGAGUGGCUAUUUUGGGGGCAGUUUUAUCCGGAACCGUCUUAGGAUGUGAUGCCCACCCUGGACCAGCAGAGGCCUUCCACCUGCGACUCUCGGAGGACAGACGCCUAGAAGACCCAGAGGUCUAAGGUCAUGCAGGGAGGGUUACACAUCCCCUGCCCCUGCCAUCUGACUUGCAGUGCCUCCUCUGGGAGGGGUUUGCUGCCCUGCUCACUGACCUUGAGCUUGGCACGGGAUUCGCUUCCGUCAGUGGCCUGUGAGCUGACGUGAUGGGAGUCAUGACUGAGCGGAAGUGUGAGGAGCUUUAACGUCAGGGGUUCGCACCAACUCGGGUCCUCCUUUCCCUCUGGAAGUGUCACAAACAGAGGCUAGAUCUGAAAAUAAAGGAGACACAUGGGAUAGAAAUAAAGAAGACACACGGAACAGAGCCGCAGCUCACCGGAAGGCUACAUGAGAUAAAUUCGAGAGCUGACUGCUCGCCGCUCCGCACUUUCGAUGAAGAAUGGUCCGAUGAUGACUCCAGCCCCAAAUCCGCACCGAACAGUGACACAUUGUGGAUGCAUUUGUUUCUCAACAAUCACUCGCGGAUUUCCUGAACCCUAAAUGUGACAAUGUUGUCGAUUAACCAAGCCAUCAAGAUGAAAAUGAGCCUCAUUGAAAUUCAGCCACAUUUAUGCAAAACGGUCAUGGAAAAUUUCAA